This 78-nucleotide ribosomal RNA is filed under the name Burkholderia ubonensis. RNAcentral's name for it is "partial 23S ribosomal RNA". It matches the Rfam family "Bacterial large subunit ribosomal RNA", at positions 2853 to 2925 of the family's 2925-position model. The record is from RNAcentral. Lineage: Bacteria; Pseudomonadati; Pseudomonadota; Betaproteobacteria; Burkholderiales; Burkholderiaceae.
UGAUAGGUCAGGUGUGUAAGCGCAGUAAUGCGUUCAGCUAACUGAUACUAAUUGCCCGUAAGGCUUGAUCCUAUAACC